RNAcentral lists this ribosomal RNA (440 nucleotides) under uncultured bacterium. RNAcentral describes it as "partial 16S ribosomal RNA". It matches the Rfam family "Bacterial small subunit ribosomal RNA", at positions 338 to 795 of the family's 1533-position model. The record is from RNAcentral.
CCUACGGGUGGCAGCAGUGGGGAAUAUUGCACAAUGGGGGAAACCCUGAUGCAGCGACGCCGCGUGAGUGAAGAAGUAAUUCGUUAUGUAAAGCUCUAUUAGCAGGGAAGAAAAUGACGGUACCUGAGUAAGAAGCACCGGCUAACUACUUGCCAGCAGCCGCGGUAAUACGUAGGGGGCAAGCGUUAUCCGGAUUUACUGGGUGUAAAGGGAGCGUAGACGGCAGUGCAAGUCUGGAGUGAAAGGGGGGGGCUCAACCCCCGGACUGCUGUUGAAACUGUACGGCUGGAGUACAGGAGAGGUAGGUGGAAUUCCUAGUGUAGCGGUGAAAUGCGUAGAUAUUAGGAGGAACACCAGUGGCGAAGGCGGCUUACUGGACUGUAACUGACGUUGAGGCUCGAAAGCGUGGGGAGCAAACAGGAUUAGAUACCCCAGUAGUC